RNAcentral lists this ribosomal RNA (696 nucleotides) under uncultured bacterium. RNAcentral describes it as "bacterial SSU rRNA". It matches the Rfam family "Bacterial small subunit ribosomal RNA", at positions 32 to 715 of the family's 1533-position model. The record is from RNAcentral.
AACGCUAGCUACAGGCUUAACACAUGCAAGUCGAGGGGAAACGACAUCGAAAGCUUGCUUUUGAUGGGCGUCGACCGGCGCACGGGUGAGUAACGCGUAUCCAACCUGCCCACCACUUGGGGAUAACCUUGCGAAAGUAAGACUAAUACCCAAUGAUAUCUCUAGAAGACAUCUGAAAGAGAUUAAAGAUUUAUCGGUGAUGGAUGGGGAUGCGUCUGAUUAGCUUGUUGGCGGGGUAACGGCCCACCAAGGCGACGAUCAGUAGGGGUUCUGAGAGGAAGGUCCCCCACAUUGGAACUGAGACACGGUCCAAACUCCUACGGGAGGCAGCAGUGAGGAAUAUUGGUCAAUGGGCGAGAGCCUGAACCAGCCAAGUAGCGUGCAGGACGACGGCCCUAUGGGUUGUAAACUGCUUUUAUAAGGGAAUAAAGUGAGUCUCGUGAGACUUUUUGCAUGUACCUUAUGAAUAAGGACCGGCUAAUUCCGUGCCAGCAGCCGCGGUAAUACGGAAGGUCCGGGCGUUAUCCGGAUUUAUUGGGUUUAAAGGGAGCGUAGGCCGGAGAUUAAGCGUGUUGUGAAAUGUAGUGGCUCAACCUCUGCACUGCAGCGCGAACUGGUCUUCUUGAGUACGCACAACGUGGGCGGAAUUCGUGGUGUAGCGGUGAAAUGCUUAGAUAUCACGAAGAACUCCGAUUG